AUGGAGUACGAGUACCAGUACAUCAGCGGCGGCGCCGGCAGCUUCGCCAAGGAGAAGAGGCCUCCGGCGAAGAGGGGCCAGGUCAAGCUCCAGAUGGUGAGGGCGCUGAGCAACCUCGUGUCUCCCAGCGGCGCUGCUGAUGGCUCCAAGCAAGCCAAUCGCAACAGCUUCAGAAGAGAAACAAGCUAG
Molecule: ribosomal RNA, 189 nt
Filed under: Triticum aestivum (bread wheat)
Lineage: Eukaryota; Viridiplantae; Streptophyta; Magnoliopsida; Poales; Poaceae
Description: partial small subunit ribosomal RNA
Source: RNAcentral